This 201-nucleotide ribosomal RNA is filed under the name Salmonella enterica subsp. enterica serovar Agona. Its description in RNAcentral is "partial 23S ribosomal RNA". It matches the Rfam family "Bacterial large subunit ribosomal RNA", at positions 1132 to 1251 of the family's 2925-position model. Lineage: Bacteria; Pseudomonadati; Pseudomonadota; Gammaproteobacteria; Enterobacterales; Enterobacteriaceae. The record is from RNAcentral.
GCGUAAUAGCUCACUGGUCGAGUCGGCCUGCGCGGAAGAUGUAACGGGGCUAAACCAUGCACCGAAGCUGCGGCAGCGAACGUAUCACUUAAAGCGAUUCAGCGGGUUACGAUUGACGGAGCGAAGCGACGUCAAAGCGUAUACAAAGUCGAGUCGGUUUAAGGAUACGUUCGUUGGGUAGGGGAGCGUUCUGUAAGCCUG